CGCGUCCUACGGGGGGCAGCAGUGAGGAAUAUUGGUCAAUGGCCGGGAGGCUGAACCAGCCAAGUCGCGUGAGGGAAGACGGCCCUACGGGUUGUAAACCUCUUUUGUCAGGGAGCAAGAGGCGGGUCGAGACCUGCUGUGAGAGUACCUGAAGAAAAAGCAUCGGCUAACUCCGUGCCAGCAGCCGCGGUAAUACGGAGGAUGCGGGCGUUAUCCGGAUUUAUUGGGUUUAAAGGGUGCGCAGGCGGAGGCACAAGUCAGCGGGAAAAUCGCGGGGGUCAACCCCGCCCCGCCGCUUGAACUGU
RNAcentral lists this ribosomal RNA (305 nucleotides) under uncultured bacterium. RNAcentral's name for it is "bacterial SSU rRNA". It matches the Rfam family "Bacterial small subunit ribosomal RNA", at positions 333 to 636 of the family's 1533-position model. The record is from RNAcentral.